This is a long non-coding RNA of Falco peregrinus (peregrine falcon), 2496 nucleotides long. RefSeq lists it as uncharacterized. NCBI's taxonomy places the organism in Eukaryota, Metazoa, Chordata, Aves, Falconiformes, Falconidae. The record is from RefSeq and is a predicted model, not a curated record. The transcript is spliced from 3 exons.
CCUCACACCACCACCUCACCGCAGUGCUUGCAGCUGGCUUUUCAAGGGUGUCUGUGUGUGGGCGGUUGUUCCUGCAACCGUGCUCCGCACAGGUGGGAACCUAGGGCAGGUGAAGCAUGUAUACAGUGCGGUGCUCUCUGCUGAAACCAGCCCUUCCUCCUGCAGCGAUCAGAACCCCCAGCGUGGGAAACACGAUCCCGGUGCUCCAGCCUGGACCAGCAUGAGUCGUUCUUGUUGCCACGCUGGAAGGAAGGACUGCAGUGACCCUCAGUCAUGCUAAGCCUCUUACCAUUAAUGGUUUGUCCAGAUGUCAUUGUUUUCCCCUCUCAGUUCAGAUAUGAUAAACCCGAGAGUAUUGAUGGUGCUCACAAGCAACGCUAGUCCUAGUGCCUGCUGGCGCUGCACUCCCCCCAUGCCCCCCAUGACACUUGUCCUGCUGCUCCAUUUUGGCUCCCGUGGAGCCCGAGUAGGGUGGAAGGAGCAUCCCGACUAGCUCCGGCUCCCGAAACACCCAGCGGCCCUGCAGAUGAGUGGGACUGGUGCUGCAGGGCAGCUCUGGAGCCCUCACACACCCACUCAAGCCUUCAUGCAUCUGGAAAUACCAUUGCUGCCUCCCGAUUCACAGCCGUGUUUUUUAACUACUGCUCUCUCCUUCUGGCUUCACACUCCCCUACACAGCAUGUCCCUGACUUCCCCUCCUCUCCUUCUGGGCUGUCACAGAGUAAUUGAUGAUUUUAGGGAGUAGUUGACUCAGACUGCCUGGUUUUGCUCUGUAAGUUCAUUCCUGCAGCCUGGACCCAGGAGGCUGGUGUCUCACUGUCAGCACGGGACUGGAGCUGGGCACCUCCAGCCAGGCUGGGGUAGCUCUGGCUUUGCUUGGUCCCAUGGAAAUGCUCUGAUGGACUGAGGGCAUCCCAGGGAGCGCUCCAUGCUGCGCCAUGCUGUGCCUUGCCAUGCUGCGCCAUGCUGUGCCAUGCUGUGCCUUGCCAUGUUGUGCCUUACCAUGCUGUGCCAUGCUGUGCCAUGCUGUGCCACGCUGCCAUGCAGAGCUGUGCUGCACAGAGCAGCUCUUCCCAGCCCCUCAGCCGAGUUAACAACUGGGAGCUGCACAAGCAUUUUUGGCACCUUCCUUCCCCCAAGGGAGACUACUAGCCAAAGGGGGGUCUCUGGGCGAACCCCUGCCAGCCCCGGUGAGGGGAUGGGUUCACUUGGUGCCUGUGCCCCAUCCACACUGCCACGGACAAGGCUCCCUUCCGCUGUGCCAAAAAUUACACAGAGCUCAGAGCCAGGAGCUGUAGAGCUCAAACACGGACCCCUGCCAGGCCUCAUAGCACAGCCAUGAUGUAAGAGCAGAAAGUCAGCAAAACCCCCACCACUCCAGCGCAGGAGCAUUAACCCUUGCAGCAAGGAAGGUUGUGGGGUUCUGGUUCUUCCCCUGAGGGAUUCUGGCUUGUCCCUUGCCUCAAGGCACUGCUCCCCCAGCAGCUCCCAGCACCCACCCUCCUUUGCCGGCACCUCAGGCACUGGUGGGACACCUCCCCACUCCAGGACCACCCCCAGGCUGUGCUGUCCACACUGACAAAACCAGUGGCUGUUCUUCCUUGCCAAGUGCUGGGCUGUGGCAGCUGUGUCAGGUGGGCAUCCCUGUCCUCCAGUCCUGGCACUCCUCGGCGGGUGCCACAACUGGUGUCCAAGCCUCAUGCUCUGCCUGUCCUCUGAUUUAAAUCAUUCCUAAGGCAACAGGUUACAGGCUAAGAAGUCCUUAAAUUAUCUAAGAAAGUUUAUGAACUUUCACAGCAUAAAAUGAAUGUGACAUUUCCUCACCAUAAUAGAUGUUCAUCAGAAAUGACUUGAUCCAAACAACCUUGUGCUACAAAGCCAUUGGGCCAUGAAAAACCUUUGACAAAACAAUCUCCUUUAAACGUGGCUUUGCUGGAAUUAGGGCUGAUUAUGAUCAGAUGACUUAGUAUUUCGACCUUGUUAUAUUCCCAUUAUUUUGACAAUUCACUGAAUAUUUGUAAUAUUUUACUCUGGAUGAGUACUUUCACAAAGUGAGGUACGUACAACUGCUGUAUUCAUUUUUCUGCAUGGAUUUAGCUUGAUCAAGAAGAGAUGAUGUGCUGUAUGCUGUCCCUGCUGCGCUUUCUAAAUAGGCCAUAUUGGACUAAUAAAAAAGGAUGCACAAAGAUGUUCUUCAUCCAGAGACCAUCUAGUGAAAAUGCACCCUUUUUUUUUAAUGGUUAGGACUUGCACUGUGCUGAGCUCAGCUGGUGCUGGGAGCUGUGGCAGCUCUGUUGCAGCACCCAGGAGUUGUGCUUGCAGAUGUUUGGGGAGCACAGGGGAGCAAUUCUGGCCCUGCCCACAUGUGGUUCCGGGGCUGGAGGGUUUUCUUCAGGGACCAGACAAGCAAUGCCUAAAUAAAUAGGCAAAGUGGAUGCAAUUCCAAGCUCAUAUCAUGUUACAGUAAUCAGAGAAUAAAACUGUUUUUCUCUGUGA